RNAcentral lists this ribosomal RNA (253 nucleotides) under uncultured bacterium. RNAcentral's name for it is "partial 16S ribosomal RNA". It matches the Rfam family "Bacterial small subunit ribosomal RNA", at positions 524 to 776 of the family's 1533-position model. The record is from RNAcentral.
UACGAGGGGGGCGAGCGUUGUUCGGAAUUAUUGGGCGUAAAGGGCGCGUAGGCGGUCGGAUAAGUCUUGUGUGAAAUCUUCGGGCUCAACUCGAAGUCUGCACAGGAAACUAUCUGGCUUGAGUGUGGGAGAGGUGAGUGGAAUUCCUGGUGUAGCGGUGAAAUGCGUAGAUAUCAGGAGGAACACCAAUGGCGAAGGCAGCUCGCUGGGACGGUACUGACGCUGAGACGCGAAAGCGUGGGGAGCAAACAGG